RNAcentral lists this ribosomal RNA (449 nucleotides) under uncultured bacterium. Its description in RNAcentral is "partial 16S ribosomal RNA". It matches the Rfam family "Bacterial small subunit ribosomal RNA", at positions 29 to 523 of the family's 1533-position model. The record is from RNAcentral.
AACGAACGCUGGCGGCAUGCCUAACACAUGCAAGUCGAACGAAGCCUUCGGGCUUAGUGGCGCACGGGUGCGUAACGCGUGGGAAUCUGCCCUUGGGUUCGGAAUAACAGUUAGAAAUGACUGCUAAUACCGGAUGAUGACUUCGGUCCAAAGAUUUAUCGCCGAGGGAUGAGCCCGCGUAAGAUUAGGUAGUUGGUGGGGUAAAGGCCUACCAAGCCGACGAUCUUUAGCUGGUCUGAGAGGAUGAUCAGCCACACUGGGACUGAGACACGGCCCAGACUCCUACGGGAGGCAGCAGUGGGGAAUAUUGGACAAUGGGCGAAAGCCUGAUCCAGCAAUGCCGCGUGAGUGAUGAAGGCCUUAGGGUUGUAAAGCUCUUUUACCAGGGAUGAUAAUGACAGUACCUGGAGAAUAAGCUCCGGCUAACUCCGUGCCAGCAGCCGCCGUAA